GACGAACGCUGGCGGCGUGCUUAACACAUGCAAGUCGAACGAUGAUGCCCAGCUUGCUGGGUGGAUUAGUGGCGAACGGGUGAGUAACACGUGAGUAACCUGCCCCUGACUCUGGGAUAAGCGUUGGAAACGACGUCUAAUACUGGAUAUGAUCGCCGGCCGCAUGGUCUGGUGGUGGAAAGAUUUUUUGGUUGGGGAUGGACUCGCGGCCUAUCAGCUUGUUGGUGAGGUAAUGGCUCACCAAGGCGACGACGGGUAGCCGGCCUGAGAGGGUGACCGGCCACACUGGGACUGAGACACGGCCCAGACUCCUACGGGAGGCAGCAGUGGGGAAUAUUGCACAAUGGGCGAAAGCCUGAUGCAGCAACGCCGCGUGAGGGAUGACGGCCUUCGGGUUGUAAACCUCUUUUAGUAGGGAAGAAGCGAAAGUGACGGUACCUGCAGAAAAAGCACCGGCUAACUACGUGCCAGCAGCCGCAGUAA
This 483-nucleotide ribosomal RNA is filed under the name uncultured bacterium. RNAcentral's name for it is "partial 16S ribosomal RNA". It matches the Rfam family "Bacterial small subunit ribosomal RNA", at positions 28 to 523 of the family's 1533-position model. The record is from RNAcentral.